This 607-nucleotide ribosomal RNA is filed under the name Amphistegina lessonii. RNAcentral's name for it is "SSU rRNA". It matches the Rfam family "Eukaryotic small subunit ribosomal RNA", at positions 1176 to 1804 of the family's 1831-position model. The record is from RNAcentral. Lineage: Eukaryota; Foraminifera; Rotaliida; Amphisteginidae.
GUGGAGCAUGUGGCUUAAUUUGACUCAACGCGGGGAAUCUUACUAGGGUCAGGACCGAUUCAUGAUUGUCACCGAGAGUGUCGCCGGUACAAGAUUGUUGGAUGAGUGGUGCAUGGCCGUUCUUAGUUCGUGGUGUGAUUCGUCGCAUUAAUUUGUUUCGAAUCAAUUGUUGUUGAUCGUAGCAACGAACGAGACCGUGAUCUGUUGCGAGCAGGCGCAACUUAACUACAGAGACAGGGUAAUACUACUACACACCAGGAAGGACACGGCAAUAACAGGUCUGUGAUGCCCUCAGAUGUUCUAGGCCGCACACGUGCUACAAUUGCUUCCGUAGUUGUAGUGCGCGUGUUGUGAGAUCUCCCGCGUCGAGUCAAAAUUGAGUCCCCUAGUUGAGAUCGUCGGUUGUAACUAUCUGACGUCGUAACUAGGAAUGCCUCGUACGGUGGGAUCAACGAGUUCCAUUGGAAUCCGUCCCUGCCCUUUGUACACACCGCCCGUCGCUCUUACCGAUGGCGGUGGUUUCGAAUGUUACCGAGCGGGUCUCGCGACUCGCAACGUAGUAUGAGAAACCACCGCUAAAGGAAAGAGAAGUCGUAACAAGGCAUCG